UUUAACGUUUUAAUUUCAUUCUAACCAAUACUAGAUAAUAAAAAAAAAAUGUCCAAUUUCAAAGAAACUGGUUUAUUAUUUGUGCUCUUGGCAACAAUUCUAAUGCUUCUGGUACCUACAAUUAAUGCACAAUGUUUGCGUUUAGGAGCACCAUGUAUAACUGAUGGUAGUAUGGGUACUUGUUGUAGAGGAGUAUGUUAUUCAGAGGGAUCAAUUUAUGGAGUUUGUCAAACAUUAUAAAUAAAGUAAAUUAUUUAAGAAAACAA
Long non-coding RNA from Leptopilina boulardi, 266 nucleotides. RefSeq lists it as uncharacterized. Lineage: Eukaryota; Metazoa; Arthropoda; Insecta; Hymenoptera; Figitidae. The transcript is spliced from 2 exons. The record is from RefSeq and is a predicted model, not a curated record.